Small nuclear RNA from Hippopotamus amphibius kiboko, 105 nucleotides. Lineage: Eukaryota; Metazoa; Chordata; Mammalia; Artiodactyla; Hippopotamidae. The record is from RefSeq and is a predicted model, not a curated record.
AUAUCUUUGGCAGCACAUAUCCUAAAAUUGGGAUGAAACAGAGAAAAUUAGCAUGGCUGAUGCACAAGGACAACAUGCAAAUUCUGUGAAGUGUUCCACAUUUAA